RNAcentral lists this ribosomal RNA (421 nucleotides) under uncultured bacterium. RNAcentral's name for it is "partial 16S ribosomal RNA". It matches the Rfam family "Bacterial small subunit ribosomal RNA", at positions 360 to 773 of the family's 1533-position model. The record is from RNAcentral.
AAUAAUGGACAAUGGGGGCAACUAUGAUCCAGCCAUGCCGCGUGUGUGAAGACGGUCAUCGGAUUGUAAAGCACUUUAAGUUGGGACGAAGGACCUUAGGAUAAUACACUGAAGUAUUGACGUUACCAACAGAAUAUGCCCCGGCUAACUCUGGGCCAGCAGCCGCGGUAAUACAGAGGGUGCAAGCGUUAAUCGGAAUUACUGGGCGUAAAGCGCGCGUAGGUGGUUCAGUAAGAUGGGUGUGAAAUCCCCGUGCUUAACCUGGGAACUGCUUUCAUAACUGCUGAGCUAGAGUACGGUAGAGGGUAGUGGAAUUUCCUGUGUAGCGGUGAAAUGCGUAGAUAUAGGAAGGAACACCAGUGGCGAAGGCGACUACCUGGACUGAUACUGACACUGAGGUGCGAAAGCGUGGGGAGCAAAC